Macaca fascicularis (crab-eating macaque) is the source of this 1649-nucleotide long non-coding RNA. Lineage: Eukaryota; Metazoa; Chordata; Mammalia; Primates; Cercopithecidae. The record is from Ensembl.
AUGGGAUAACCUUCUGUUUGCUUGCCUGCCUUCUGACCCUUCAGCACGCAUACCCUCAAUCGUACCCUGCAUUUAUCCUUCCCCUAACCUUUGCAGCUCAGCACCUAUCUUUUCUUCAGCCACUGAGCUUUCUAGCCCCAGUUGAUUUUCUGAACACUAAAGCUCUUGGCACAGACGCUACUGGGCUCUUUGAUUUUUCUUUUGAGUCAGUAUUAGGCUUUGUCUCUUUAGUCUGAUAGUAAGCUUUAUGAGAUCAAUAUCCAAGUUCUUGCAUGUAAGUCGAGGCUUGAGAAAUUUUUGUUGUUGACAAACGUUAGUCAUUUUAAAAAUGUAACUUUCUUUAGCUUGAGUAUUACUAGUAACACAUUAUGGCUAGACUAACCAUACAAAACUAAUUCAGUCAAACUACAUUUAGUGUGUUUUUGUUUGUUUUAGAUUCCAUUAACCAGUUGUUUGAACAAAGCGCCAAAUUCUCCUUCUUGUAUUUGUUUGAUGUUAAGUCAAGUCUGCUGCCUGUGUUUCUAACAAUUAGAGAACAAUGUUAUUCUCAUAUUUAUUGAUAAUCUCCUUAGCCUCUGCCAAGGACUUGUAAUGUGCUAGCUAGUGUACAAAAUAUAAAGAUAAGAUUCACACACUCUUCAGUUAAUUUCUCUAAUAAAGUUGAGAAAGUAACUAUUGUCUCCUAAGCCACAGUGAGGCUCAUGAGCAAGGGAAAUUUAAACUCAAAGCAGUUAAAAACAUUCUGUGUUUCUUUAUUCUUUUUCCCUUUUUAACUCUUCUUUUUUCAUUGUGAAUGCUUUAAAUAUUUUACUGGUAUCUAAUCUGACCCUUUAAAAAAAAUCAUUGUUUUUAUUUCAAGCAGCACAUUUGCUCUGGUUGAUAAUAUUGUGAUAUUGCAUCAACUGCUACAGAAGAACACAAAACAGCAUGUCAAAAAAGUAGUACACAAAAUAAGCAUAUAGUAGGUACAACAUAAAUGCUUGUGGAUUAUUAAAUAAUCCUGAAUUCCUACUGAAUGUAAUGUAAAUUGAAAUAUUGUUAAAUUCUGUGAUCAUCUGGGACAAAUAGGUUAACAUCAAAAAACAGAAAUAAUUCUCUCAGAACUAUUAGGCGGAUAUCAUAGACAAAUAGUUGAAAAAGAAAAGACCUAUUGGGUUAUUUGAAAAAUAAACAAAAAAGCCACAAACAAAACAGAAGACAGAAAACGAAAAAUUAUCAUGCAACAAAAUAGCCUAUUUAGCUUGUCCCUAGGAACUUCAAGAAAAAGUGAGAAUUUGAAAACCAAUUUUUCUUCAACUAUAAGAUGCAUGGAAAUGACUUGUAGAUUAUUAUGUGGGGUAUGCAAAUCAAAUUCAAAAGCUAUAAAUCAGUUAGCUGGGACUUGGAAAGUACUGAAUAGUCAAGAAAGAUGGAAAUGCUAGGGGAGUGAUCUCUCUAUGCAAACUUGAGUGCUUGCAGAUUUCUACAUGUUAGGACACCUCUGUUCAAGAUUAAUUAGUAUUGAAUUUUCCAUGCUGCAGGGAAAAAAGUAAAGCCCGUCUGGGAAGCACUUGUAUGAGAACAGUAGUGAAACUUACCAAAAAUGUGAAAGUAAGAAGUAUGUGAUUCUGUCAAAGGACUGAUAUUAUAUAGAAGAAAAAAAAAAAAAA